CCCAUCAGAAGGGGGAUAACCACUUGGAAACCAGGUGCUAAUACCGUAUAACACUAUUUUCCGCAUGGAAGAAAGUUGAAAGGCGCUUUUGCGUCACUGAUGGAUGGACCCGCGGUGCAUUAGCUAGUUGGUGAGGUAACGGCUCACCAAGGCAACGAUGCAUAGCCGACCUGAGAGGGUGAUCGGCCACACUGGGACUGAGACACGGCCCAGACUCCUACGGGAGGCAGCAGUAGGGAAUCUUCGGCAAUGGACGAAAGUCUGACCGAGCAACGCCGCGUGAGUGAAGAAGGUUUUCGGAUCGUAAAACUCUGUUGUUAGAGAAAGAAACAAAGGAUGAGAGUAGAA
This 348-nucleotide ribosomal RNA is filed under the name Enterococcus casseliflavus. Its description in RNAcentral is "bacterial SSU rRNA". It matches the Rfam family "Bacterial small subunit ribosomal RNA", at positions 129 to 469 of the family's 1533-position model. Lineage: Bacteria; Bacillati; Bacillota; Bacilli; Lactobacillales; Enterococcaceae. The record is from RNAcentral.